CUUUUUCGUAAGGGAACGAGCAAGCACGGGUAGCAGCCUGGUGGCGAGUGGCGAACGGGUGUGUAAUACAUCGGAACGUGCCCUGUCGUGGGGGAUAACUAUUCGAAAGAUUAGCUAAUACCGCAUACGACCUGAGGGUGAAAGCGGGGGACCGCAAGGCCUCGCGCGAUAGGAACGGCCGAUGUCUGAUUAGCUAGUUGGUGGGGUAAAGGCCCACCAAGGCGACCAUCAAUAGCUGGUCUGAGAGGACGAUCAGCCACACUGGGACUGAGACACGGCCCAGACUCCUACGGGAGGCAGCAUUGGGGAAUUUUGGACAAUGGGGGCAACCCUGAUCCAGCAAUGCCGCGUGUGUGAAGAACGCCUUCGGGUUGUAAAGCACUUUUGUCCGGAAAGAAAUCCCUUGCCCUAAUACGGCGGGGGGAUGACGGUACCGGAAGAAUGGGCACCGGCUAACUACCUGCCAACAGCCGCGGUAGUACGGAGAAAUGCGAGCGUUAAUCGAAUUUACUGGGCGUAAAGCGUGCGCAGGCGGUUUUGUAAGACAGGCGUGAAAUCCCCGAGCUCAACUUGGGAAUGGCGCUUGUGACUGCAAGGCUAGAGUAUGUCAGAGGGGGGUAGAAUUCCACGUGUAGCAGUGAAAUGCGUAGAGAUGUGGGAGGAAUACCGAUGGCGUAAGGCAUCCCCCUGGGACGUCACUGACGCUCAUGCACGAAAGCGUGCGGAGCAACAGGAUUAGAUUACCCUGGUAGUCCACGCCCUAACGAUGACAACUAGUUGUUGGAGAUUCUUUCUUUCGUAACUUAACUUACUCUUGAAGUUGAACAGCUGGGGAUUACUGUCGCAAGAUUAAAACGCGUGGAGUGACGGGACCCGCCAGCGGGAAUGAUGUGGAUUAAUUCGAUGCACGCGAGACCUUACUACCCUAUGAACAUUCCACCUACGAGGCAAGGAUGCUUCGGGCCGGAAAGGGGAAUUGGUACCAGGGAGGCUGCAUGGCUUGUACGUCAACUACUUGUC
RNAcentral lists this ribosomal RNA (1020 nucleotides) under Cupriavidus basilensis. RNAcentral describes it as "bacterial SSU rRNA". It matches the Rfam family "Bacterial small subunit ribosomal RNA", at positions 47 to 1066 of the family's 1533-position model. Lineage: Bacteria; Pseudomonadati; Pseudomonadota; Betaproteobacteria; Burkholderiales; Burkholderiaceae. The record is from RNAcentral.